AUGUAUGAUGCAAUGGUACAUUGUGAUGCUCCGGUAGAUAACAGGAAAUUGUGGAAGCUAAAAAUUCCUCUAAGAGUGAAGAUUUUCCUCUGGUUUCUAAACAAAGGAGUCAUUCUAACUAGAGAUAAUCUGGCACGACGAAACUGUCAUGGGCCCAAGUCAUGUGUCUUUUGUCAACAUGGCCUAGCAGGCCCUACAUGA
Molecule: ribosomal RNA, 201 nt
Filed under: Triticum aestivum (bread wheat)
Lineage: Eukaryota; Viridiplantae; Streptophyta; Magnoliopsida; Poales; Poaceae
Description: partial small subunit ribosomal RNA
Source: RNAcentral